Molecule: ribosomal RNA, 442 nt
Filed under: uncultured bacterium
Lineage: Bacteria
Description: partial 16S ribosomal RNA
Rfam family: Bacterial small subunit ribosomal RNA
Source: RNAcentral
CCUACGGGGGGCAGCAGUAGGGAAUCUUUCACAAUGGGCGAAAGCCUGAUGGAGCAACGCCGCGUGCAGGAUGAAGGCCUUCGGGUUGUAAACUGCUUUUAUAAGCGAGAAAUAUGAUGGUAACUUAUGAAUAAGAAUCGGCUAACUACGUGCCAGCAGCCGCGGUCAUACGUAGGAUCCGAGCAUUAUCCGGAGUGACUGGGUGUAAAGAGUUGCGUAGGUGGCAUAAUAAGUAGCUAGUGAAAUCUGGUGGCUCAACCAUUCAGACUAUUAGCUAAACUGUUAAGCUCGAGACCGUUAGGGGUAACUGGAAUUUCUAGUGUAGGAGUGAAAUCCGUAGAUAUUAGAAGGAACACCAAUAGCGUAGGCAGGUUGCUGGGACGGUUCUGACACUAAGGCACGAAAGCGUAGGGAGCAAACGGGAUUAGAUACCCGUGUAGUC